Molecule: ribosomal RNA, 303 nt
Filed under: uncultured bacterium
Lineage: Bacteria
Description: partial 16S ribosomal RNA
Rfam family: Bacterial small subunit ribosomal RNA
Source: RNAcentral
AGCAGUAGCCACGGUAAUACGUAGGGUGCAAGCGUUAAUCGGAAUUACUGGGCGUAAAGCGUGCGCAGGCGGUUAUAUAAGACAGAUGUGAAAUCCCCGGGCUCAACCUGGGAACUGCAUUUGUGACUGUAUAGCUAGAGUACGGCAGAGGGGGAUGGAAUUCCGCGUGUAGCAGUGAAAUGCGUAGAUAUGCGGAGGAACACCGAUGGCGAAGGCAAUCCCCUGGGCCUGUACUGACGCUCAUGCACGAAAGCGUGGGGAGCAAACAGGAUUAGAUACCCCGGUAGUCCCUGUCUCUUAUAC